UCUCGCCUGCCCGGUGACUAUAUGUUUAACGGCCGCGGUAUUUUAACCGCGCGAAGGUAGCGUAAUCAUUUGUCUUUUAAAUGAAGACCUGUAUGAAUGGUAUUACGAGGGCUCAACUGUCUCCCUUCUCCAGUCAAUGAAAUUGACCUCCCCGUGCAGAGGCGGGGAUAUUAAUAUAAGACGAGAAGACCCUGUGGAGCUUCAAGACCUAAAAUAAGCCAUGUUCAGGAAUCUAAAAUAUAAGUAAAAACUUAGUGGCAUCUAUUGAAGUGUCUUCGGUUGGGGUGACCCUGGGGAAAAAUUUAACCCCCAAGUAGACUGGGUACAUUGUCUCUAGAACUCAGAGCUCAUACUCCAAGUAACAGAAUAUUUGACUUUAUGAUCCGGUAUAACCGAUCAACGAACCAAGUUACCCCAGGGAUAACAGCGCAAUCCUCUUUAAGAGCCCAUAUCGACAAGGGGGUUUACGACCUCGAUGUUGGAUCAGGACAUCCUAAUGGUGCAGCUGCUAUUAAGGGUUCGUUUGUUCAACGAUUAAAGUCCU
RNAcentral lists this ribosomal RNA (544 nucleotides) under Bathygadus antrodes. RNAcentral describes it as "partial 16S rRNA". It matches the Rfam family "Bacterial large subunit ribosomal RNA", at positions 1853 to 2597 of the family's 2925-position model. Lineage: Eukaryota; Metazoa; Chordata; Actinopteri; Gadiformes; Macrouridae. The record is from RNAcentral.